GGAAGAGGUAGAGAGAGGAUCAGAUAGGGGAGAAAUUGAAGCCGGACUCCAGAUCGACACCGGCGCGCUACUGGUGGAAAUGGUUGGGACUGAGGUACUGGAAGGAGACAUACACACCUCAGACAGAUUUGAAUAUAGAUUUAGGUUUUAAACCCAAAGCCAGAAACAGCAGCUUCAAUCAAACUCCGGUUGCAUCCCGCUGGAAAUCCAUCCAUUUUCAGCUCUGCGAUGGAAUUUGUUCGCGAGAAAACCUACGCAGUUCUCACAAUGUUCAGGAUGCUGAAAAAAUUCUCUCACAGGACGCAUGUCGCCUCAACGAGAACAGUUUGUCAGACUGGGGCUCGGAAUUGAUGGGUCUUGAUGGCUACAAUCUACAGGCUGACAUGUCACACGCUCAGAGGCGAUGGAAUGCGGCUGAAGACGACGGGGGCUCUACCACAAACAAAUGGAUUCAAUUAAGUAUCUCCUGAUUCCAAAUAUCAAUACACGAAGGCGAGCUCAGCCUGCACGAAUCUGGCGAGGAGGGGCAACGCAAACGGGAGCCGCGGGGCAUCUGGAACCUCAAGGGUGAGAGUGUGGUUCCGGUCUGACAUGAGCAGCGCUUGGGCCUCCGCUUGUUUUCUCCUGAGGACAAAGAAAGGGCAGAUAACUCCCCUACACUAUAAGAAAAGGCACUCCCCAACAGUGGUACAUAGAUAAAGUGGCUUGCCUUGAACAUCAGGUGAAGUGUUGCCCAUUGUCACACAGCCGCUCAAAGCACCACCCUCUCCAAACAAGUGUUCUAUAAAUGGGCAAGCUCAAUCCACACUGAUGAGAGCGCAGGCCUGCUGCGCCACAAGGUAAACGGAGACCAAGAGACCAAGACCAAGAGUACACAGCCUCCUGUUUCACCUCUGCAACUUCUUUAUUUUAUUUCUUUUUGCACACAAAAUGUGUUUUGAUAUUUUUAUUUUAAAAAGUUGCACUGUGAUUUAAUUUCUGUGUGUGUCUAUUCUGUUUGUGUGUAUACAUGCACACACAAAUAGAAUGAAUAAACCAGUCUGGUUUACAUAACUGCUCAAACUGUAAAACCACAGCAGAAAUAAACAUGUAU
Non-coding RNA from Paramormyrops kingsleyae, 1093 nucleotides. NCBI's taxonomy places the organism in Eukaryota, Metazoa, Chordata, Actinopteri, Osteoglossiformes, Mormyridae. The record is from RefSeq and is a predicted model, not a curated record.